UACGUAGGGUGCAAGCGUUGUCCGGAAUUAUUGGGCGUAAAGAGCUCGUAGGUGGUCUGUUGCGUCGGCUGUGAAAACCCGAGGCUCAACCUCGGGCCUGCAGCCGAUACGGGCAGACUAGGGUUCGGCAGGGGAGACUGGAAUUCCUGGUGUAGCGGUGAAAUGCGCAGAUAUCAGGAGGAACACCGGUGGCGAAGGCGGGUCUCUGGGCCGAUACUGACACUGAGGAGCGAAAGCGUGGGGAGCGAACAGG
Molecule: ribosomal RNA, 253 nt
Filed under: uncultured bacterium
Lineage: Bacteria
Description: partial 16S ribosomal RNA
Rfam family: Bacterial small subunit ribosomal RNA
Source: RNAcentral